GCUCCUGAAGGAUAACAGUCUAUCCAUUGGUCUUAGGAACCAAAGACUCUUGGUGCAAGUCCAAGCAGGAACU
Molecule: transfer RNA, 73 nt
Filed under: Chrosomus eos (northern redbelly dace)
Lineage: Eukaryota; Metazoa; Chordata; Actinopteri; Cypriniformes; Leuciscidae
Description: tRNA-Leu(CUN)
Rfam family: tRNA
About the family: Transfer RNA (tRNA) molecules are approximately 80 nucleotides in length. Their secondary structure includes four short double-helical elements and three loops (D, anti-codon, and T loops). Further hydrogen bonds mediate the characteristic L-shaped molecular structure. tRNAs have two regions of fundamental functional importance: the anti-codon, which is responsible for specific mRNA codon recognition, and the 3' end, to which the tRNAs corresponding amino acid is attached (by aminoacyl-tRNA synthetases). tRNAs cope with the degeneracy of the genetic code in two manners: having more than one tRNA (with a specific anti-codon) for a particular amino acid; and 'wobble' base-pairing, i.e. permitting non-standard base-pairing at the 3rd anti-codon position.
Source: RNAcentral